This 77-nucleotide transfer RNA is filed under the name Chryseobacterium sp. Leaf201. RNAcentral's name for it is "tRNA-Arg". It matches the Rfam family "tRNA". Rfam says of the family: Transfer RNA (tRNA) molecules are approximately 80 nucleotides in length. Lineage: Bacteria; Pseudomonadati; Bacteroidota; Flavobacteriia; Flavobacteriales; Weeksellaceae. The record is from RNAcentral.
AGUUCUGUAGCUCAACUGGAUAGAGUGCCGGUUUUCUAAACUGGAGGUUAGAGGUUCGAUGCCUCUCAGAAUUACAA